UACGUAGGGUGCGAGCGUUAAUCGGAAUUACUGGGCGUAAAGCGUGCGCAGGCGGUUCGUUAUGUCCGAUGUGAAAGCCCCGAGCUCAACUUGGGAAUGGCAUUGGAAACUGGCGGGCUGGAGUGUGGCAGAGGGGGGUGGAAUUCCACGUGUAGCAGUGAAAUGCGCAGAUAUCAGGAGGAACACCGAUGGCGAAGGCAGGUCUCUGGGCAUUAACUGACGCUGAGGAGCGAAAGCAUGGGGAGCGAACAGG
RNAcentral lists this ribosomal RNA (253 nucleotides) under uncultured bacterium. RNAcentral's name for it is "partial 16S ribosomal RNA". It matches the Rfam family "Bacterial small subunit ribosomal RNA", at positions 524 to 776 of the family's 1533-position model. The record is from RNAcentral.